This is a long non-coding RNA of Pseudophryne corroboree (corroboree frog), 487 nucleotides long. RefSeq lists it as uncharacterized. NCBI's taxonomy places the organism in Eukaryota, Metazoa, Chordata, Amphibia, Anura, Myobatrachidae. The record is from RefSeq and is a predicted model, not a curated record. The transcript has 3 exons.
UUCAGACAUAGACUUCAUCACCGGCCUACUAGAAAUGUACUGUGGAUUAGAGUGUUUAUGGAAGAUCAAAGCCAAGAGCUAUUCUGAUAAAAUUCGACGGAAUGCGGCCUUGGAGGAGCUAGUGGAGUACUGCAGGCCCUUUGUGUCCGGUGCUGACAAAGAAUAGGUCAAGAAAAAGAUACAGAACCUGCGUACUGUGUUCCUGAAAGAACACAAAAAAAUGGAACAUUCCAAAAGGUCUGGAGCAGGUUCUUCCAAGAUUUACAAAACCUCGCUCUGGUACUACCCCAUGCUGGAGUUUGUCCUGGACCAGGAGGCUACCCGGACAGGUUUCACCUCCCUCCCUCCCUCAGACUGCCACACCAGAGCUUGAAGACGGUGAGCCAUCUCUGUCGGCAUCUGAUCCAGAGAAACCACCACAAUAUCUUUAUACUCCUAAUUAAAAGUCUCUAUAAUCUCUAUACGAACAGUGUAGCUGGCAUGAAGG